UGCACUCACUACUGUAAGUCGCUCUGGAUAAAAGCAUCUUCUAAAUGACUAAAA
This is a non-coding RNA of Salmo salar (Atlantic salmon), 54 nucleotides long. The record is from Rfam. NCBI's taxonomy places the organism in Eukaryota, Metazoa, Chordata, Actinopteri, Salmoniformes, Salmonidae.